AAUAAGGGUAGUUUUUACACUAUUCAUGUCCAAUGUUUAACCAUUCGUCUUAUUUAAAAAAAAAUUAUGAUUACUAUUUUUAUAGUUAUUAGAUGAUAAAAUAUGAAUAAUACUUUAUGUUUGACUAUUUUUUAAAAUUUUUCAUAUUUUGUUAAAUAAGACAGACAGUUAAACGUUGGACACGGAUACCAACGGCGGUACUUAUU
Molecule: non-coding RNA, 206 nt
Organism: Oryza glaberrima (African rice)
Lineage: Eukaryota; Viridiplantae; Streptophyta; Magnoliopsida; Poales; Poaceae
Source: Rfam